RNAcentral lists this ribosomal RNA (460 nucleotides) under uncultured bacterium. Its description in RNAcentral is "partial 16S ribosomal RNA". It matches the Rfam family "Bacterial small subunit ribosomal RNA", at positions 338 to 795 of the family's 1533-position model. The record is from RNAcentral.
CCUACGGGAGGCAGCAGUGAGGAAUAUUGGUCAAUGGACGAGAGUCUGAACCAGCCAAGUAGCGUGAAGGAUGACUGCCCUAUGGGUUGUAAACUUCUUUUAUAUGGGAAUAAAACAGGGUAUGCAUACCCUCUUGUAUGUACCUUCUGAAUAAGUAUCGGCUAACUCCGUGCCAGCACCCGCGGUAAUACGGAGGAUCCGAGCGUUAUCCGGAUUUAUUGGGUUUAAAGGGAGCGGAGGUGGGUUGUUAAGUCAGUUGUGAAAGUUUGCGGCUCAACCGUAAAAUUGCAGUUGAAACUGGCAGGCUGGAGUACAGUAGAGGUGGGCGGAAUGCGUGGUGUAGCGGUGAAAUGCUUAGAUAGCACGAAGAACUCCGAUUGCGAAGGCAGCUUACUAAACUGCCACUGACAUUGAUGCUCGAAAGUGUGGGUAUCAAACAGGAGUAGAUACCCGUGUAGUC